AAUAUUGGACAAUGGGCGCAAGCCUGAUCCAGCCAUGCCGCGUGAGUGAUGAAGGCCCUAGGGUUGUAAAGCUCUUUCAACGGUGAAGAUAAUGACGGUAACCGUAGAAGAAGCCCCGGCUAACUUCGUGCCAGCAGCCGCGGUAAUACGAAGGGGGCUAGCGUUGUUCGGAAUUACUGGGCGUAAAGCGCACGUAGGCGGAUUGGUCAGUUAGGGGUGAAAUCCCGGAGCUUAACUCCGGAACUGCCUUUAAUACUGCCAGUCUAGAGACCGAGAGAGGUAAGUGGAACUCCUAGUGUAGAGGUGGAAUUCGUAGAUAUUAGGAAGGAACACCAGUGGCGAAGGCGACCACCUGGGCUAAUACUGACACUGAGGUGCGAAAGCGUGGGGAGCAAACAG
This 399-nucleotide ribosomal RNA is filed under the name uncultured bacterium. RNAcentral describes it as "partial 16S ribosomal RNA". It matches the Rfam family "Bacterial small subunit ribosomal RNA", at positions 360 to 775 of the family's 1533-position model. The record is from RNAcentral.